CUUGUAGUCUCGUCAUUCACAGUGCACUGCACCUGGUGUUUCACAUUGGAUGUCUGGGCUACAACUAGGGAGAGUAGAGUUGGGAAUGGCCAGGUUAAUUGGGUAUUGCUAAUACACUGCUCCUCACGGAACCCCAUGUCUUCAGAUGGAUGGUAUUGCAUGAGGAAGAACAAGGAUUGUAAAAACAUAAACACAGAUUUCGAUCCCUGCUCUGAGACUUACAAGCUACACAGCUUUGAGCAAGUUUUUAUUCAACAGGGAAAUGAUGCUUACCUCGAAAGACCACUGUGAGCGUUAAAUAAGGUAGUUCGACUUUCAACACUUGGUUAUUUUGUACUUACUAAGAACUAUUCUCAGGUCUGAUACAAGCAAAACGAACAAAAUUCUCACUUUCAUGCCAAACUUAUUGCGUGCAGAUGGAAACAGCAAGCCGACCAGUAGACAGGUGUGAUCAGAUGAUAACACAGCAGGAAGGAAACUCAAGGAGGGUAUAAAGAAAGAGUGACUGGGGAGGAGGAGAUAGGAAAGCAGUGUAGACAUCAGGUCAGACAAGACCACUUUGAGGGGACAGAAGAUGCUUGGGUAGGAAGGCCUCGUCCGUCAUUUUUAGACUUAAGGUCUUAUUAUGCCACUCAAUUAUAGCUUGACCUUUUGGAUUGUAUGGUAUUCCAUUGAAGUAUUUAAUAUUCCAAGUUUGGAAGAAUUCUUGUAAUGAUUUGCUCACAAAGCAGGGCCCAUUGUCUGUCUUACUUGUAGGGGUGAUCCCAAAAUGGCAAAACAUUGUAGGAAAUGGCUUUCAGGAUGUCAAGCUUUUUUGCCCAAAUGAGCAGUUGCCCAACAAGCAUGUGAAUAAGUAUCUAUAGACAUAAAUAUAUAUUUUAAUUUUCCAAAAUGUGCAUAGUGGGUCACAUCAGUUUGCCAGAUGACAUUAGGUCUGAGGCCCCUAGGGUUGACCCUGGGGGAUUGAAGAGGUGGGACCUGUUUUCCCAACAGUUUUUGUAAUUCCACCAAGGUAUAGGACGACUGGAAAAGUAAUUGAGGGUUAAGGGGACAGACAGAGUCCAACCUAAGUUAAAAGGGGGUAAGGUCUGGACCUGUCAUUAGAUAUAUGUAAUCCUCCCUUCUAUAAGAGUCUGGAGUUCCUUAUAGGCGGAACCUAACGCUUUGGCAUCUGACCACAAAAAUAAUGAUGCCAUCCAUGUAAACAUAUAGAAUUAUGUCCAAUCGCCUCAGAAGGGUUUGCAGGACUUGUGAAACAAUGUUGACAAAAAGCUGGACUGUUGGCCAUUCCCUGGGGUAACACCACCCACUCAUAUCUUUGGUCUGGCCCCUGGGGAGGGAACGGAGAAGGCAAACUUCUCUCAGUCCUGGGGAUCAAGGGGAAUAGAAAAGAAGCAAUCCUUGAUAUCAAUCACAAUGAGAGUCAAAUCCCGAGGGAUGCAGGGGAUCCAGGGCAGCCCUCGCAAGGGGAUACCAACGGGAAUCAUCCACUCAUUAAUCUUUCUUAGGUCCUGUAACAUUCUCCAUUUCCCUGUGGCCUUUUGUAUUCCAAGGGCUCAGGGAGGGCCUAAUAUGCCCUAGGGACAGUUGUUCUGAUAUUAUCUCUUUUAACUUUUGUAGUUUAUCUAGGGGAAGCGGCCACUGUUCCAUACACACUGGAGGGCCUAGAAGCCAUUGAAUGGUGGGGACGGUGGGAACAGUGGCCUCUAGGAUUGGGGGUGAGGCCUCACAUGGGGUGCAGGAGUGUUCUGCCUCGAUGUCUCAAAAAGUGGAUCCCCCCGGUAAUUGCUAAGGGGACCUGAUAGGCCAAACUGUUGUUGGCACCUCUCUUCCUCUAGGAUAUGGUCAUAAAUCCCUUUGUGAUCUGUGGUGAUGAACACCUCAGCUUCCCCUAAAAUAUCCUAUCCCAGCAGAUUAUCUGUCAGGCCAGACACCACCAGAGGGCGUACCUCUCCCUGACUACCAUCUACAUCCUUCCAAAUAAGCCAAUCCUUGGUUUCUUCAGACCUUGUCACCCCCCAUCCCCCAAUAACUGAGGUCCGGGAAUCAGCUUCCAUUGUGGGGGAACCUCCUCUUUCCUUAAUACUGUCCGAUCCGCUCCAGUGUCAAUCAAGCAGUGGAUCUUUUUCCCUGCUAUGAAGAUAUCCGUUUUUG
RNAcentral lists this long non-coding RNA (2154 nucleotides) under Marmota monax (woodchuck). The record is from RNAcentral. Lineage: Eukaryota; Metazoa; Chordata; Mammalia; Rodentia; Sciuridae.